This 429-nucleotide ribosomal RNA is filed under the name Pseudomonadota bacterium. Its description in RNAcentral is "Proteobacteria bacterium partial 16S ribosomal RNA". It matches the Rfam family "Bacterial small subunit ribosomal RNA", at positions 355 to 776 of the family's 1533-position model. Lineage: Bacteria; Pseudomonadati; Pseudomonadota. The record is from RNAcentral.
UGGGGAAUAUUGGACAAUGGGCGAAAGCCUGAUCCAGCCAUGCCGCGUGUGUGAAGAAGGUCUUCGGAUUGUAAAGCACUUUAAGUUGGGAGGAAGGGCAGUAAGCGAAUACCUUGCUGUUUUGACGUUACCGACAGAAUAAGCACCGGCUAACUCUGUGCCAGCAGCCGCGGUAAUACAGAGAGUGCAAGCGUUAAUCGGAAUUACUGGGCGUAAAGCGCGCGUAGGUGGUUCGUUAAGUUGAAUGUGAAAGCCCCGGGCUCAACCUGGGAACUGCAUCCAAAACUGGCGAGCUAGAGUAGAGCAUAGGGUGGUAGAAUUUCCUGUGUAGCGGUGAAAUGCAUAGAUAUAGAAAGGAACACCAGUAGCGAAGGCGACCACCUGGGCUCAUACUGACACUGAGGUGCGAAAGCGUGAGGAGCAAACAGG